GAACGCAGCACGGAGCAUCCUGUGGCGAGUGCGAACGGGUGAGUAUACAUCGGAACGUGCCCAAUCGUGGGGGAUACGCAGCGAAAGCUGUGCUAAUCCCGCAUACGAUCUACGGAUGAAAGCAGGGGUCCGCAAGGCCUUGCGCGAAUGGAGCGGCCGAUGGCAGAUUAGGUAGUUGGUGGGGUAAAGGCUCACCAAGCCUGCGAUCUGUAGCUGGUCUGAGAGGACGACCAGCCACACUGGGGCUGAGACACGGCCCAGACUCCUGCGGGAGGCAGCAGUGGGGAAUUUUGGACAAUGGGCGCAAGCCUGAUCCAGCCAUCCCGCGUGCAGGAUGAAGGCCUUCGGGUUGUAAACUGCUUUUGUACGGAACGAAAAGGCCUUUUCUAAUAAAGAGGGCUCAUGACGGUACCGUAAGAAUAAGCACCGGCUAACUACGUGCCAGCAGCCGCGGUAAUACGUAGGGUGCAAGCGUUAUUCGGAAUUACUGGGCGUAAAGCGUUCGCAGGCGGUGAUGUAAGUCAGUUGUGAAAUCCCCGGGCUCAACCUGGGAUCUGCAUCUGUGACUGCAUCGCUGGAGUGCGGCAGAGGGGGAUGGAAUUCCGCGUGUAGCAGUGAAAUGCGUAGAUAUGCGGAGGAACAUCGAUGGCGA
Molecule: ribosomal RNA, 652 nt
Filed under: Pseudomonadota bacterium
Lineage: Bacteria; Pseudomonadati; Pseudomonadota
Description: bacterial SSU rRNA
Rfam family: Bacterial small subunit ribosomal RNA
Source: RNAcentral